Molecule: ribosomal RNA, 270 nt
Filed under: uncultured bacterium
Lineage: Bacteria
Description: partial 16S ribosomal RNA
Rfam family: Bacterial small subunit ribosomal RNA
Source: RNAcentral
UACAGGGGGUGCAAACGUUGCUCGGAAUCAUUGGGCGUAAAGCGCACGUAGGCGGAUCGUUAAGUCGGGGGUGAAAUCCUGGAGCUCAACUCCAGAACUGCCUUCGAUACUGGCGAUCUUGAGUCCGGAAGAGGUGAGUGGAACUCCUAGUGUAGAGGUGGAAUUCGUAGAUAUUAGGAAGAACACCAGUGGCGAAGGCGGCUCACUGGUCCGGUACUGACGCUGAGGUGCGAAAGCGUGGGGAGCAAACAGGGAUUAAGAAAACCCUAG